UCCUACCAAAUAGUGCCUGAUCAAGGCUUCCGUUUUCAAGAUAUUCAUAAACAAGAAGGCGCCUAUCUCCCUCAAUGCAGCAUCCGUAUAGUUUCACAAGGUUACGAUGUUGCACAGCAGAUAUGGUAGAAAUUUCAGUUACAAAUUGACUCUUCCCUUGGUGAGAUGCCACCGAUAAUUGCUUCACAGCUACAAUCCUCCCAUCAGAUAGUGUGCCCU
Molecule: long non-coding RNA, 219 nt
Organism: Quercus robur (English oak)
Lineage: Eukaryota; Viridiplantae; Streptophyta; Magnoliopsida; Fagales; Fagaceae
Exons: 2
Source: RefSeq, a predicted model, not a curated record